This 64-nucleotide ribosomal RNA is filed under the name Asparagus officinalis (garden asparagus). RNAcentral's name for it is "partial small subunit ribosomal RNA". The record is from RNAcentral. Lineage: Eukaryota; Viridiplantae; Streptophyta; Magnoliopsida; Asparagales; Asparagaceae.
AGGACAUGCGGUACGACAUUGUCUCAGAUCGAGCGAGACGACUGCGAACUAGUAAACCCGCCCG